RNAcentral lists this long non-coding RNA (207 nucleotides) under Phoenix dactylifera (date palm). RNAcentral's name for it is "long non-coding RNA (PDAC_LNC016133)". The record is from RNAcentral. Lineage: Eukaryota; Viridiplantae; Streptophyta; Magnoliopsida; Arecales; Arecaceae.
UUGGACAGCGGCCUAGGGAGAGGGGGAAGGCGUCGCAAGAAGAGAAGAGAGAAGGAAAGAGAGCUAGGGCAAAAGCUUUUCAAUUUUUGCAUACUGAAAUAGGUGCUCACCACAUCUAUUUAUAGGUGGCUACCUGACCCCUUAACUUGACUUGAUCUAAUUGAAUUCAAGAAACAACUAAACCCAAAGCGACUCUAAUAAAGGCCA